GAUGAACGCUGGCGGCGUGCCUAAUACAUGCAAGUCGAGCGAACGGACGAGAAACUUGCUUCUCUGAUGUUAGCGGCGGACGGGUGAGUAACACGUGGAUAACCUACCUAUCAGACUGGGAUAAAUUCGGGAAACCGUAGCUAAUACCGGCUAAUAUUUUGAACCGCAUUGUUUAAAAGUGAAAGACGGUCUUGAUGUCACUUCUAGAUGGAUCCGCGCGGCAUUAGCUGGUUGGUAAGGUAACGGCUUACCAAGGCAACGAUGCAUAGCCGACCUGAGAGGGUGAUCGGCCACACUGGAACUGAGACACGGUCCAGACUCCAACGGGAGGCAGCAGAGGGGUAUCUUCCGCAAUGGGCGGAAGCCUGACGGAGCAACGCCGCGUGAGUGAUGAAGGUCUUCGGAUCGUAAAACUCUGUUAUUAGGGAAGAACAUAUGUGUAAGUAACUGUGCACAUCUUGACGGUACCUAAUCAGAAAGCCACGGCUAACUACGUG
RNAcentral lists this ribosomal RNA (497 nucleotides) under uncultured bacterium. RNAcentral describes it as "partial 16S ribosomal RNA". It matches the Rfam family "Bacterial small subunit ribosomal RNA", at positions 28 to 507 of the family's 1533-position model. The record is from RNAcentral.